CAGCACCUCAAGUGGUCAGGAUGAUUAUUGGGCCUAAAGCAUCCGUAGCCGGCGCUGUAAGUUUUCGGUUAAAUCUGUACGCUCAACGUACAGGCUGCCGGGAAUACUGCAGCGCUAGGGAGUGGGAGAGGUAGACGGUACUCGGUAGGAAGGGGUAAAAUCCUUUGAUCCAUUGAUGACCACCUGUGGCGAAGGCGGUCUACCAGAACACGUCCGACGGUGAGGGAUGAAAGCUGGGGGAGCAAACCGGAUUAGAUACCCGAGUAGUCC
Molecule: ribosomal RNA, 270 nt
Filed under: uncultured archaeon
Lineage: Archaea
Description: partial 16S ribosomal RNA
Rfam family: Archaeal small subunit ribosomal RNA
Source: RNAcentral